RNAcentral lists this ribosomal RNA (429 nucleotides) under Pseudomonadota bacterium. Its description in RNAcentral is "Proteobacteria bacterium partial 16S ribosomal RNA". It matches the Rfam family "Bacterial small subunit ribosomal RNA", at positions 355 to 776 of the family's 1533-position model. Lineage: Bacteria; Pseudomonadati; Pseudomonadota. The record is from RNAcentral.
UGGGGAAUAUUGGACAAUGGGCGAAAGCCUGAUCCAGCCAUGCCGCGUGUGUGAAGAAGGUCUUCGGAUUGUAAAGCUCUUUAAGUCGGGAGGAAGGGCAGUAAGCGAAUACAUUGCUGUUUUGACGUUACCGACAGAAUAAGCACCGGCUAACUCUGUGCCAGCAGCCGCGGUAAUACAGAGGGUGCAAGCGUUAAUCGGAAUUACUGGGCGUAAAGCGCGCGUAGGUGGUUCGUUAAGUUGAAUGUGAAAGCCCCGGGCUCAACCUGGGAACUGCAUCCAAAACUGGCGAGCUGGAGUAGGGAAGAGGGUGGUGGAAUUUCCUGUGUAGCGGUGAGAUGCGUAGCUAUAGGAAGGAACACCAGUGGCGAGGGCGACCACCUGAGCUCAUACUGACACUGAGGUGCGAAAGCGUGGGGAGCAAACAAG